UACAGAGGGUGCGAGCGUUAAUCGGAAUUACUGGGCGUAAAGCGUGCGUAGACGGUUAUUUAAGUCGGGUGUGAAAGCCCCGGGCUUAACUUCGGAAAGGCAGUGGAAACUGAACAGCUAGAGUAUGGUAGGGGCAGAGGGAAUUCCUGGUGUAGCGGUGAAAUGCGUAGAGAUCAGGAAGAACAUCGGUGGCGAAGGCGGCUCACUGGCUCGGUACUGACGCUGAGGUGCGAAAGCGUGGGGAGCAAACAGG
RNAcentral lists this ribosomal RNA (253 nucleotides) under uncultured bacterium. RNAcentral describes it as "partial 16S ribosomal RNA". It matches the Rfam family "Bacterial small subunit ribosomal RNA", at positions 524 to 776 of the family's 1533-position model. The record is from RNAcentral.